CCUACGGGAGACAGCAGUGGGGAAUAUUGCACAAUGGGGGGAACCCUGAUGCAGCGACGCCGCGUGAAGGAAGAAGUAUUUCGGUAUGUAAACUUCUAUCAGCAGGGAAGAAAAUGACGGUACCUGACUAAGAAGCCCCGGCUAACUACGUGCCAGCAGCCGCGGUAAUACGUAGGGGGCAAGGGUUAUCCGGAUUUACUGGGUGUAAAUGGAGCGUAGGCGGCAGUGCAAGUUAGAAGGGAAAGGCCAAGGCUCAACCAUGGGACUGCUUUUGAAACUGUACAGCUAGAGUGCAGGAGAGGUACGUGGAAUGCCUGGUGUAGCGGUGAAAUGCGUAGAAAUUAGGAGGAACCCCAGUGGCGAAGGCGGCUUACUGGACUGUAAAUGACGCUGAGGCUCGAAAGCGUGGGGAGCAAACAGGAUUAGAUACCCUUGUAGUC
RNAcentral lists this ribosomal RNA (440 nucleotides) under uncultured bacterium. Its description in RNAcentral is "partial 16S ribosomal RNA". It matches the Rfam family "Bacterial small subunit ribosomal RNA", at positions 338 to 795 of the family's 1533-position model. The record is from RNAcentral.